Molecule: ribosomal RNA, 477 nt
Filed under: uncultured anaerobic ammonium-oxidizing bacterium
Lineage: Bacteria
Description: bacterial SSU rRNA
Rfam family: Bacterial small subunit ribosomal RNA
Source: RNAcentral
UUCGCAAUGCCCGAAAGGGUGACGAAGCGACGCCGCGUGUGGGAAGAAGGCCUUCGGGUUGUAAACCACUGUCGGGAGUUAAGAAAUACAAGGAUAUUAAUAGUGUCUUUGUUUGACUAAGGCUCCGGAGGAAGCCACGGCUAACUCUGUGCCAGCAGCCGCGGUAAUACAGAGGCGGCAAGCGUUGUUCGGAAUUAUUGGGCGUAAAGAGCACGUAGGCGGCUAUGUAAGUCGGUUGUGAAAGCCUUCCGCUCAACGGAAGAACAGCAUCCGAUACUGCAUGGCUUGAGUGCGGGAGGGGAGGGUGGAACUUCUGGUGGAGCGGUGAAAUGCGUAGAUAUCAGAAGGAACGCCGGCGGCGAAAGCGGCUCUCUGGCCCAUAACUGACGCUGAGCGUGCGAAAGCUAGGGGAGCAAACGGGAUUAGAUACCCCGGUAGUCCUAGCCGUAAACGAUGGGCACUAAGUAGAGGGGUUUU